CCCCUUUGAAAGGAGCGAGAGCGAGACCCCAUCUCUUUAUGGAAACUUCGGGUCACCACUUCCGAGAACCUCUUGCUGGGCAUCUUGGCCUUUGCCGAGAGGUCUGGAAAGGGCGCCCCUAGCCGGCGUCCGCGUCUGGGUGAAAACUACAUUACCCAGAUGUCUCUGCGCUGCGCGUCUGCGGCGCUGGGCCAAUGAAGGCCGAGGAGAAGGACGCUCUCAUACUUUGCGAAACCUGUCGAGGAGGGACUUCCGGCGUUCUCCCGGCGGCGGUCAUUUUGGUGACCAUGGGUCGGUCGGCUUGAUUCCGUUGUGCAGCUCUUGGUCCGGCCCGAGGUUUCCAUGGCUUCAGAAGCAUUUCAUGAGCAAUGUAUAGGAGUAGGCUGAGUGCAGCAGACUGGUUUGAUGUAAACAAAACCCAGAAACCCAUCUGCUCUUCUCCUUGGACACAGAGCUAAACCUCAGUUCCCAGCUGCAUCGAAAGAGGGAUACAGACUCACAGACAUAGAGAACAAGCUUGUGGCUGCCAAGGGGGAGGGCAGGGUGGGGGAGGGAUGGAUUGGGAAUUAGGGAUUAGUAGACGUAAUCUAUUAUAUAUAUGUAUGACUGAAUUGCUUUUCUGUACACCAGAAACUAACACAACAUUGUAAAUCAACUAUACUUCAAUAAAAUAAAUUGAAAAAGAAAAAAGGGAUGGCCAACUGCCGAGUUCUUGUCAAGAGUGUGAGGGGAAAUAACGUAGGUGUGACUUCCAUA
This is a long non-coding RNA of Globicephala melas (long-finned pilot whale), 756 nucleotides long. RefSeq lists it as uncharacterized. Lineage: Eukaryota; Metazoa; Chordata; Mammalia; Artiodactyla; Delphinidae. The record is from RefSeq and is a predicted model, not a curated record.